This 53-nucleotide non-coding RNA is filed under the name Pseudomonas sp. BAY1663. The record is from RNAcentral. Lineage: Bacteria; Pseudomonadati; Pseudomonadota; Gammaproteobacteria; Pseudomonadales; Pseudomonadaceae.
CUAUGGUUCGCCCGUUGCUGCAAAUUCAGCGACCGGGUUUGGCGACCCGAACU